GCUGGGUGUGGUGUCACAUGCCUGUAGUCCCAGCUACUUGGGAGGCUGAGGCAUAAGGAUUGCUUGAGCCCAGGAGUUCAAGGGUGUAGUGAGCUAUGAUCAAGCCACUACGCUUCAGCCUGGGUGACAGAGCAAGAUCAUGUCUCUU
Molecule: non-coding RNA, 148 nt
Organism: Gorilla gorilla gorilla (western lowland gorilla)
Lineage: Eukaryota; Metazoa; Chordata; Mammalia; Primates; Hominidae
Rfam family: Metazoan signal recognition particle RNA
About the family: The signal recognition particle (SRP) is a universally conserved ribonucleoprotein. It is involved in the co-translational targeting of proteins to membranes. The eukaryotic SRP consists of a 300-nucleotide 7S RNA and six proteins: SRPs 72, 68, 54, 19, 14, and 9.
Source: Rfam